GGAGAGGUGUCCGAGCGGCCGAAGGAGCACGACUGGAAAUCGUGUGCACUCAAAAGGUGCCGAAGGUUCAAAUCCUUUCCUCUCCGCCA
This 89-nucleotide transfer RNA is filed under the name Deltaproteobacteria bacterium. RNAcentral's name for it is "tRNA-Ser". It matches the Rfam family "tRNA". Rfam says of the family: Transfer RNA (tRNA) molecules are approximately 80 nucleotides in length. Their secondary structure includes four short double-helical elements and three loops (D, anti-codon, and T loops). Lineage: Bacteria; Pseudomonadati; Myxococcota; Myxococcia. The record is from RNAcentral.